RNAcentral lists this ribosomal RNA (253 nucleotides) under uncultured bacterium. RNAcentral describes it as "partial 16S ribosomal RNA". It matches the Rfam family "Bacterial small subunit ribosomal RNA", at positions 524 to 776 of the family's 1533-position model. The record is from RNAcentral.
UACGGAGGAUCCGAGCGUUAUCCGGAUUUAUUGGGUUUAAAGGGAGCGUAGGUGGAUUGUUAAGUCAGUUGUGAAAGUCUGCGGCUCAACCGUAAAAUUGCAGUUGAAACUGGCAGUCUUGAGUACAGUAGAGGUGGGCGGAAUUCGUGGUGUAGCGGUGAAAUGCUUAGAUAUCACGAAGAACUCCGAUUGCGAAGGCAGCUCACUAGACUGCAACUGACACUGAUGCUCGAAAGUGUGGGUAUCAAACAGG